This is a long non-coding RNA of Harmonia axyridis, 412 nucleotides long. RefSeq lists it as uncharacterized. The transcript has 2 exons. Lineage: Eukaryota; Metazoa; Arthropoda; Insecta; Coleoptera; Coccinellidae. The record is from RefSeq and is a predicted model, not a curated record.
CAAGAAGUAGUGUUUUUUGCGGGUCUAUGCAAUGAUGCGUUCUUAAGUAUUCUAUGAUGUAACUGCUGGGUUUUCCCAAUAUUUUUGCUUUUCUCCCUGAACAAGUUUCGAUAGCUGCUAAGAUAGCACCAGUCGAAGGUCGGAUCUUCCAAGUAAGUGGCAGCUUUGAGAAUUUUCGGCAAUGAGAAAUGCUCAUCAAGACCGACAACUACAGCUUUAACUUCAGGAUCUAUUUCGGCUUCUAAAUAAGUAUCUGCUAUUGUUUCCGCAGGUGGAUCAGGCUGAAAACCUUCAAUCGUCAAUUUGAAAAAAGUUGAAACUUUAAUCGAAAAUUUCACGCAAUAGAUUGAUUUACUCAGAAAAUUACUAAUAUAAAAUAAUCUAAAAUAAAUAUAUAUUAUGAUGCAAGGAG